CAGUCAUUUGAACGUCCGUGAUAAACAAUGAUAAACCCGGCGAAACGGUCGGGUCUUUGACCACUGACUCACCCGGACAGCUUCAGGCUCUGCUCCGUCUGCUGCGGGUCGGAACCCGCCUGGCUCCCCAUCCUGCGGGUUCGAACUUGACCGUCGAACUUGGCGUUCAGCUCCAGGUUGUAGGUCUGCGGUUGUCCGGGCCGCGUCGAGAUGGAGCUGACUCUCAGCCCCCGGUCCGCUCCGGCUGCCGACCCCGGCUGGAGCACGUAGAGCCUCCUGAAGGCGCCCGGACCCGGACCCUGCUGCUCCGCUGACCCGCUUAUCAGGGCCAGAAACGAGCCGAGACACAGAAGGAGAGCGAGUUCCGAGCGAGUCAUGUCCGCGAGGGAGGAAAAGUUCGACGAGCUCGGGAGGAAGUUACGAGGAGGCGUCGGUCUUCCUCCACAUUCUCCCGCAGGUACCGAGCGGGACUCGAACCCAACACGCCCGCGAAGAAGAGACGGCGUUUCUAUGGCAACGUGGAGGUCAAAAGUUCCGCUGUGUCCCGGUGCUGGUCUGGAGGUUCUCCGGUGCUCGACUCCGGAAAGUUUCUAUCCCGGAGUUCUGAGGUGAAGCAGCCGCCUCCAGAAGUGACGUCACGCGGGGGUCCUGGGCCGUCUCUUACUCAGGAGCUUCGACGGAGCCAGUGCCUGGUCAGAACCGGACCCCCGCGCCACCCGUCCACCUGACCAACGGAUGGACCUCCAUAACAGCAAUCGAACCUGGUGUGUCGUCAUGAAGAGUGACGCUCGUCGCCAUCAUCUUCACCGUCAUGAGCUGGUAUUUGGUUUGACACGGAGGAAGUGAUGUCGGCUGCUCGUGUCGAGACAUGUGAUGUUUCCAGACCUGCUCCCUCGAGGGUGUCGCGCACAUGCAGUUUAUCAGCCACACAUCUGCAGGUGUCCAGAGCCAGCAGAGCUCUGGUUCCUAACUGUUGUGUUGGAGACCACCACAACGUUCCUGGGGCUUCUGCGACAUCAAAGGACCCCAGUUCUGAACAAAGCAGCUGAUGGUAGCUGGCGAUAAAGAGAGACACACACACAGUUGAUGAAGUCCGACUGAACCAUCACAGUCUCAGACCAGAUGUCCUGUGAGAGAGUGUCAGGUGAGCCGUGGGAAGUGAUCCAGUUUCACCUCAUGGGUCCGGAGAUAGAGGUGGGUGAUGACAUGAAAUCAUGACAAUGAGAACAAUAAUAAUAGCAAUGUGAGGAGACCACAUGGAUUCGGUCACAUUCUUCCUCUUCCCACAUUCUCACACACAGUGGAGAAGCCAGUCAAAUGUGCAACUUGAAGUUGUUUUUAAACCUGACGUGUCUCUAAGUUGACCACACACCUUCACAACAGAACAUUGGCGUGAUCCUUGUCGGUCCUGCGACACCACAGAUUGUCACAGAGCUAACGGCUAAUGUGACCUUUUACUUCCAAACGCCUCGGGAUUUUUUCAUUGAACCAAGUGUUCCCCAAAAAGGUUGAAAAACAGUGGCCCAUAGAGAAACCGACAACAGUGAGAUUCACAGAUGCAUAAAUGCUGCCUCCUAUUGGCAGAGAGAGGAACUACACCAUGAUUAUCUCGCCUCAUGACGUAGUGGCGUGAGUGAGCAAAGAUGAUUCCCGUCUCACCUUCUCCGAGGGCCACGGCCUUCUCCACUAUGGUCUUGAGGGCCGCCGGGUCUUUCUCCCACCCGCUGGCUUGCAGUGUGCAGCGAUGAGCUUUGUUGAGGAAGUGAAGUGCCUGAAAGCAGAGAGCUGUUCAGACGGGAUCAACAUGGACACCAGGGAUGUGGCACAGACCUUCUCGUUCUCCUCCAUGUUUGCGCUGCGUCCGCCGCCAUACAGCUGGGCGUACUGGUGCCAGACUUCAGCGUCGCUGCUGUGGCGGGCACUGACCCGUCCCAGCAGCUCCCUCAGUUUGGGACCAAGAGAGGCCGCCGGUGCUCCCUGGCUGUCGGGCAGGUUCUCCACAACCGCCCGGACAAGGAUCUUGAGGACCUGCGGACGAAGAGGAGCGUCAGCUUCGUUGUUGAAGUUUCUAUGCAUUCUGCUUCUCAGUCAUGUGACCCAGCCGAUGAGCAGUUUCCUGGUCUCUCUGCUCGCGACCCGAGACUGGACGAGCUACUACGAGGAGCUAAGGUUGCUCGCCCAUCUGGCAACGCUCACCCACUCUGUCACCCGACAGUGGGCAACGUUCCAAAGCAACCUGCAGGAGACAACACACACGUGUUGCCGGGCAACAGCAGAAUUGGCUGCUGACCUCAGUGACACCACCAGCGUCCUUCACUGCGGAGCAACACACUGCCGCUGACCUCCGAUUUACAGCAGCGAAAAGACGGCGGCAUGAGAACGUGGGCUUCAGCAGCAGUAAACCAGGGUGUGAUUAGGAACCUUCCCGGGGGGGAGAAGAUCCUCCUCCGGCUUGAUUGCGCCGCAGCGACAGGAGUCGCAGCCAUCGGUGGGAAGAAUUAAUAAUCCUGGAAAUGAUGCUGCGGCUCAGGCCGAGAGCCGGCGCCUCCUUUCUGCUGUUGCUGGGGGUGCAAUUACCGAGAGGUGAUUAAGAGAGGCUUCCUGCUUGCUGCUAAUGAGUCUGCUGAUGUGACCACAAUAGAGAUGAUCCACCAGCGCCACGGGGAGAACAAACAGUCGGAGGGAAGGCGCUCGCUCUGAGCUCCCCAAACUUCUCCUGCCCACUCGCUCAGGAGCCACGUCGGCCCUGACACGAUGAUGCUUCAGCGUCCAAGACGUUGGACCUUUGACCCCUACCUGCAUGUCCUUGUAGUUCUCCUUGAGCUCCAUCAGCUGGUGGUACGCCCUCACCGCUUCCCGGAACUCUCCCACGUCCACGCUCACGCCGAUGUAGUUCUCCCAGAUCUGCCAGUGCUCGUAGUUGCAGCGCAGGGCCUCCUGCAGCGAGCGGAAGGCUUUGGUCCUGAAAGACACGGCGGCGGUGAGACGGCGAGCUCUUCCCCGUCAUGCUCACUCCCUCUGCACUCACUUCCUGUUCAGGCGGAUGUGCGCCGACGACAGGUUGUUCCAGGCUUCUGCAUUCUAGAUGACAACAGUAGGUGUUAGAGCUUCACUUGGCUUCAUCAUGGUGACAAUGGGAGAAUAAAACCCGCAUUUGAUGCUUCAAAACUUCAGGAGUGGAGGUGAUGACAGUGCCGUGAAUAUAUAUAUAUAGGGAUGGGAUUAAAUUUCAAAAAUUAAUCUAGUUAAUUAGCAUUUAUGAUUAAUCUCAAUCACAUUUUAAUGCUAUAAGGAAAAAUAUAAAAAUAAAGAAAAAAAGAAAACGAUUGUUCGCUUUGCAUCAGUUUGACAAUAUCACAAUACAUCACCAUGGUGGCUAUAUUCAAGUUUUUAUAUCACCUUAUUUAAACUAAAGCUCUUUUAAUGUCUUGAAAAUAUUUGUAUAAGAAUUUCAAUGUUAUAUAAGAAUUUCAAGUCCAUUCAGAGUAGUGGAAACCCUGGACAUUGUGUAGUGAAAAACCUCCCUGAACAAAAGCAAACAGAUGCUUUUGUUUGCUUGUGUUCAGGGAUUCCUCCAUGUUUGUUGUUGUUGUUGUUGUUGUUGUUCUCAUCCUAGCUGCCACGUGUCUUGUGCAUCAGUGGGAUGAGUGGACCAGGAACUCGUGCACUGACAAAGGUUCUGUGUUGUAAAAGACCCCCUGUCGUACAGCAAAGUAUUUGACUGUCGGCUUCACCACACUGGCGUUAGUCUUGAUGUCAUGGGUGUGUUGUGGUGUUGGUGCCACUCACAUCAGGUUCCAGUUCCACACAUCUCUGGAAAGCCUUGGCAGCCCCUUCCCAGCUCUCCAGGGCGAAGUACGCACAACCCAGGGAGAACCAGACGCCCAGCUGCGCAU
Long non-coding RNA from Synchiropus splendidus (mandarinfish), 3896 nucleotides. RefSeq lists it as uncharacterized. The transcript has 3 exons. NCBI's taxonomy places the organism in Eukaryota, Metazoa, Chordata, Actinopteri, Syngnathiformes, Callionymidae. The record is from RefSeq and is a predicted model, not a curated record.